Molecule: ribosomal RNA, 418 nt
Filed under: Anemonia viridis
Lineage: Eukaryota; Metazoa; Cnidaria; Anthozoa; Actiniaria; Actiniidae
Description: partial large subunit ribosomal RNA
Rfam family: Bacterial large subunit ribosomal RNA
Source: RNAcentral
UAGCGUAAUCAAUAGCCAAUUAAUUGUUGGCCGGUAUGAAUGGCGUCACGAAGGCCCCACUGUCUUAAGAGGACUCUCCAUGAAAUUGAAUUCGUAGUGAAGAUGCUACGUCCAUAUUGUAAGACGAAAAGACCCCAUUGAGCUUUACUAAAGACUUGCAUGGCUCAAAAUAAUUUGAUUUAAAUAAAAAGUUUAGAUAAUGUGGGACCCGUUUCCGGUUAAUGAAACACCACUCUUUUAUUUUAAGAGAGCUAACAUUACAGGGAUAGUGUAAGUUGGAUAGUUUGGUUGGGGCGACCACCUUUUAAAAGGUAACGAAGGUGAGCUUAAGGUCCGUAGUUAAUAGCCGGUGGCCUGACUGCAAGGGGGACGUCUCGAGCAGACACGUCCUUAGGGAUGUGGACUAUAGUGACCCGUC